UGGCGGCAGGCCUAACACAUGCAAGUCGAGCGGUAGAGAGAAGCUUGCUUCUCUUGAGAGCGGCGGACGGGUGAGUAAUGCCUAGGAAUCUGCCUGGUAGUGGGGGAUAACGUUCGGAAACGGACGCUAAUACCGCAUACGUCCUACGGGAGAAAGCAGGGGACCUUCGGGCCUUGCGCUAUCAGAUGAGCCUAGGUCGGAUUAGCUAGUUGGUGAGGUAAUGGCUCACCAAGGCGACGAUCCGUAACUGGUCUGAGAGGAUGAUCAGUCACACUGGAACUGAGACACGGUCCAGACUCCUACGGGAGGCAGCAGUGGGGAAUAUUGGACAAUGGGCGAAAGCCUGAUCCAGCCAUGCCGCGUGUGUGAAGAAGGUCUUCGGAUUGUAAAGCACUUUAAGUUGGGAGGAAGGGCAGUAAAUUAAUACUUUGCUGUUUUGACGUUACCGACAGAAUAAGCACCGGCUAACUCUGUGCCAGCAGCCGCGGUAAUACAGAGGGUGCAAGCGUUAAUCGGAAUUACUGGGCGUAAAGCGCGCGUAGGUGGUUUGUUAAGUUGGAUGUGAAAUCCCCGGGCUCAACCUGGGAACUGCAUUCAAAACUGACUGACUAAGUAUGGUAAAAAGGGGGGGGGGAAUUUUCCUGGGGUAACGGGGAAAUGCGUUAAAUAUAGGAAGGAACACCAGUGGCGAAGGCGACCCCUGGACUAUACUGACACUGGAGGUGCGAAGCGGGGG
Molecule: ribosomal RNA, 736 nt
Filed under: uncultured bacterium
Lineage: Bacteria
Description: bacterial SSU rRNA
Rfam family: Bacterial small subunit ribosomal RNA
Source: RNAcentral